This 391-nucleotide ribosomal RNA is filed under the name uncultured bacterium. Its description in RNAcentral is "bacterial SSU rRNA". It matches the Rfam family "Bacterial small subunit ribosomal RNA", at positions 28 to 420 of the family's 1533-position model. The record is from RNAcentral.
GACGAACGCUGGCGGCGUGCUUAACACAUGCAAGUCGAACGGUGACGAGGAGCUUGCUCCUCCGAUCAGUGGCGAACGGGUGAGUAACACGUGAGUAUCCUGCCCAGACUCUGGAAUAACAGUUGGAAACAGCUGCUAAUACCGGAUACGAGACGGAGAGGCAUCUCUACCGUCUGGAAAGUUUUUCGGUCUGGGAUGGACUCGCGGCCUAUCAGCUUGUUGGUGAGGUAAUGGCUCACCAAGGCGACGACGGGUAGCCGGCCUGAGAGGGCGACCGGCCACACUGGGACUGAGACACGGCCCAGACUCCUACGGGAGGCAGCAGUGGGGAAUAUUGCACAAUGGGCGAAAGCCUGAUGCAGCAACGCCGCGUGAGGGAUGACGGCCUCGG